Molecule: ribosomal RNA, 494 nt
Filed under: uncultured bacterium
Lineage: Bacteria
Description: partial 16S ribosomal RNA
Rfam family: Bacterial small subunit ribosomal RNA
Source: RNAcentral
GACGAACGCUGGCGGCGCGCUUAACACAUGCAAGUCGAACGGAAAGGCCUGCUUUCCCUUGUGGAUUGCGGGUACUCGAGUGGCGAACGGGUGAGUAACACGUGAGUGAUCUGCCCCCAACUUGGGUAUAAGCCUGGGAAACUGGGUCUAAUCCCCGAUAGGACUGCAGGGUGGUGCCUGUGGUGGAAAACGAUUUUCUAGUGGUUGGGGAUGAGCUCGCGGCCUAUCAGCUUGUUGGUGGGGUAAUGGCCUACCAAGGCGGCGACGGGUAGCCGGCCUGAGAGGGUGGACGGCCACAUUGGGACUGGGAUACGGCCCAGACUCCUACGGGAGGCAGCAGUGGGGAAUAUUGCACAAUGGGCGGAAGCCUGAUGCAGCGACGCCGCGUGGGGGAUGACGGCCUUCGGGUUGUAAACUCCUUUCGACCGCGAGGAAGCCACCUGGUUGGAAGGGUGGUGACGGUAGUGGUAGAAGAAGCACCGGCUAACUACGUG